GCGAGAACAAGGGAGGGACCUACGCACACGGCAACCUGGGCAGGGUGGUCCAGCACGUCUGUGAUCCUGACUGACGCACUGCCCUGGGAAGCUGCCUGCCUCAGCCCCUUGGCUGUGGCACCUAGGCAUCUCAUCACCGUCGCGUCUCUGGAGUGGCCUUCUCUCCACUGAGGGCAGAACAUGCCGUCCAUCUAUAGGAAGAGACCUCAGCAAAUUGGUGUCUUGGAUCUAAUCUAAUUCUGGGGCCAGACAUCCAGUGCAAGUCAAAGGAAACAACAUAAAGACACGUCUUGGAAGCAAUGUGAUCUUAGAGUCUAUUAAAUAUGACGAUUCCUGAUGUUCCCCUUUCAAAUAGUAACUGUGUGUAAAUCAAGAUAUAUCAGUUAACAUUAUUAGGCUAUUUCUGAAUAUAUCUUGUCAAACCUAAAGGAAAGCACUAAUAAGAACUUACCUCAUU
Molecule: non-coding RNA, 457 nt
Organism: Odocoileus virginianus texanus
Lineage: Eukaryota; Metazoa; Chordata; Mammalia; Artiodactyla; Cervidae
Source: RefSeq, a predicted model, not a curated record